This 104-nucleotide small nuclear RNA is filed under the name Procavia capensis (Cape rock hyrax). Lineage: Eukaryota; Metazoa; Chordata; Mammalia; Hyracoidea; Procaviidae. The record is from RNAcentral.
ACACUUGCUUCAGCACUAUAUAUACUACAGUUGGAACAAUACAGAGAUUAGCAUGACCAUUGUGCAAAGUUAACAUGCAAAAUUGUGACGCAUUCCAUAUUCUU